RNAcentral lists this long non-coding RNA (971 nucleotides) under Struthio camelus australis. Its description in RNAcentral is "lncRNA (ENSSCUG00000010284.1)". The record is from RNAcentral. Lineage: Eukaryota; Metazoa; Chordata; Aves; Struthioniformes; Struthionidae.
CAUGAUCAGAAAACCAGGCGAAUCAAAGGAUUUGCUAAUAUUUCUUAUAUGAUGUAAUGUUAGCAAUUUGGAAAUUCUGGGUUUGGUCUCCAUUACCAUGUCCAAGAUUUAAUCAACUAAAGGAGUGGCUAAACUUAUUGUGAGCUGGUAGCAUUUCCUAUCCAUAGACACCUGAUAUUAACGCAAGAGACUAGAGACCACCUUUUUUGCACCUACCCAAUCGUUCACCUGAGUGAAAUGAAAGUGUUGAACAUGCCAGUGAUAUGGCAUUUUGCAAGGCCAGACAUUACCAUGAAUCCUGAAAACCUGAAAUCUCUCCAGGAAAAUGGGCUGAAGCCUUCGAGAAGUUUGGAGAAAGCCCUCUAUCUGAGUGUCCUUCCAAGAUGUACUCCAUCUAUUUGGGAGUUUCCAGCGCUGUCUAGGAAAUCUCAGAGUACCAUAUGUGGAAGUAAAGCCUCUUCUACAUUUCUCAGCAUGGUCCUCCUGGUGCUGGAUCCCUUGAAUGGAGUCUGGAGCUUCAUUCCUCAUCCUGGUUUAUGUCUGAAUGUCUGUGAAGGUCAAUGUCUGAGUGGGAUCGAUUCACAGCCCUACGCAAGAUUCCUGUACCAAAUAACAGCAACAGCAAAACAAGACUUUGGAAAUGAGAACAGCUAAAGGUUUUGCUCUUCCAUACGGCGUGUGCAUCCUCUGCAUUGCUUAACAAUUUCAUUAGGAGUCAAGGGAGCUAAGGAUUUUGCAAAAUAAGAUCAUGACGCAGACACAAAAGGGUGGACAUGAGAUGGUUUAGUAAUCUAGAUAUUAUCCUGCAGUAAUCACUGGGAUUCUGAUUAUUCCUGAUCUCUUCUGACAUAUAUAUAAUAAUAGCUGUUUAAUCCAGAUUAUUGUUCAGUAGGGACAUUCAUUGAUAUCUGAAAUGCCUGUAUGUGCAAAUCUGAAAUAAAGCACUUUCAAAAGCACCUUCCCCUGUUUCC